UUUAAGACUUUUAAAAGUUAAUGAACGGGAAACAAAAAAACAGAAUGUAGACAAUUUACAUAAAGAGAGAGCCGAAGAUAAUGCCCAAAAAAUUGUCUUUGACGGCUUCAUAGAUUCAUUUGAUCCGCCAAUAAAUGAAGACUCAUUGAACGAUGAUUACGCAGUUUUUAGAGUACCUUAUAAAAUAAAACGAUUGUUCCACAGGAUGACAAUGAAAUGAAAAAUCGUGUACUUAAAACCGUUGAAACAAAACGUGACGAGAAACGACAACUGAUGACGAUCAGUAGUAAUGAGAACAAAUUAAAGGAAAAUGGAAAAUAUUUUGGAGAUCGGUUUUUAAGCAAUCAACAAUUG
Molecule: non-coding RNA, 354 nt
Organism: Nylanderia fulva
Lineage: Eukaryota; Metazoa; Arthropoda; Insecta; Hymenoptera; Formicidae
Source: RefSeq, a predicted model, not a curated record